CGUGAGGCAUGCUGGAGGUAUCAGAAGUGCGAAUGCUGACAUAAGUAACGAUAAAGCGGGUGAAAAGCCCGCUCGCCGGAAGACCAAGGGUUCCUGUCCAACGUUAAUCGGGGCAGGGUGAGUCGACCCCUAAGGCGAGGCCGAAAGGCGUAGUCGAUGGGAAACGGGUUAAUAUUCCCGUACUUGGUGUUACUGCGAAGGGGGGACGGAGAAGGCUAUGUUGGCCGGGCGACGGUUGUCCCGGUUUAAGCGUGUAGGUGUGUGUUCCAGGUAAAUCCGGUUCACUUUAACACUGAGGCGUGAUGACGAGGCACUACGGUGCUGAAGCAACAAAUGCCCUGCUUCCAGGAAAAGCCUCUAAGCAUCAGGUAACAUCAAAUCGUACCCCAAACCGACACAGGUGGUCAGGUAGAGAAUACCAAGGCGCUUGAGAGAACUCGGGUGAAGGAACUAGGCAAAAUGGUGCCGUAACUUCGGGAGAAGGCACGCUGACACGUAGGUGAAGUGAUUUACUCAUGGAGCUGAAGUCAGUCGAAGAUACCAGCUGGCUGCAACUGUUUAUUAAAAACACAGCACUGUGCAAACACGAAAGUGGACGUAUACGGUGUGACGCCUGCCCGGUGCCGGAAGGUUAAUUGAUGGGGUCAGCGCAAGCGAAGCUCCUGAUCGAAGCCCCGGUAAACGGCGGCCGUAACUAUAACGGUCCUAAGGUAGCGAAAUUCCUUGUCGGGUAAGUUCCGACCUGCACGAAUGGCGUAAUGAUGGCCAGGCUGUCUCCACCCGAGACUCAGUGAAAUUGAACUCGCUGUGAAGAUGCAGUGUACCCGCGGCAAGACGGAAAGACCCCGUGAACCUUUACUAUAGCUUGACACUGAACAUUGAGCCUUGAUGUGUAGGAUAGGUGGGAGGCUUUGAAGCGUGGACGCCAGUCUGCGUGGAGCCGACCUUGAAAUACCACCCUUUAAUGUUUGAUGUUCUAACGUGGACCCGUGAUCCGGGUUGCGGACAGUGUCUGGUGGGUAGUUUGACUGGGGCGGUCUCCUCCUAAAGAGUAACGGAGGAGCACGAAGGUUGGCUAAUCCUGGUCGGACAUCAGGAGGUUAGUGCAAUGGCAUAAGCCAGCUUGACUGCGAGCGUGACGGCGCGAGCAGGUGCGAAAGCAGGUCAUAGUGAUCCGGUGGUUCUGAAUGGAAGGGCCAUCGCUCAACGGAUAAAAGGUACUCCGGGGAUAACAGGCUGAUACCGCCCAAGAGUUCAUAUCGACGGCGGUGUUUGGCACCUCGAUGUCGGCUCAUCACAUCCUGGGGCUGAAGUAGGUCCCAAGGGUAUGGCUGUUCGCCAUUUAAAGUGGUACGCGAGCUGGGUUUAGAACGUCGUGAGACAGUUCGGUCCCUAUCUGCCGUGGGCGCUGGAGAACUGAGGGGGGCUGCUCCUAGUACGAGAGGACCGGAGUGGACGCAUCACUGGUGUUCGGGUUGUCAUGCCAAUGGCACUGCCCGGUAGCUAAAUGCGGAAGAGAUAAGUGCUGAAAGCAUCUAAGCACGAAACUUGCCCCGAGAUGAGUUCUCCCUGAGACUUAGAGUCUCCUGAAGGAACGUUGAAGACGACGACGUUGAUAGGCCGGGUGUGUAAGCGCAGCGAUGCGUUGAGCUAACCGGUACUAAUGAACCGUGAGG
RNAcentral lists this ribosomal RNA (1676 nucleotides) under Salmonella enterica. Its description in RNAcentral is "partial 23S ribosomal RNA". It matches the Rfam family "Bacterial large subunit ribosomal RNA", at positions 1262 to 2915 of the family's 2925-position model. Lineage: Bacteria; Pseudomonadati; Pseudomonadota; Gammaproteobacteria; Enterobacterales; Enterobacteriaceae. The record is from RNAcentral.